Molecule: long non-coding RNA, 958 nt
Organism: Cottoperca gobio
Lineage: Eukaryota; Metazoa; Chordata; Actinopteri; Perciformes; Bovichtidae
Exons: 3
Source: RefSeq, a predicted model, not a curated record
UUUCGAACAGGGUUGAGGAAGAAGAGAGGAUAUCACUUUCCCCCCUAUCAAGUUUAUCUUCAUUUAUGGGUUGCAGGUCCCUGUGUCCCUCCCCCUCCUCGAUCCCCCUGUGUGCGAGUCCCUCAUCUCAGCUUUGGUUGCUGUGCAGAUGGCUCUUUGUUGGUGCUUCACAAUGGGUCUAAGGACUUGCCUGUAAACCAGAGAAAGCCAGCCAGACCAUGCUGGACACUGCUGUUCAAAACAAAAGAGCUCAGUUUGCCCCCACCAAUUCCUCCAAUUAUCGGGACCCUUCCCCCGCCUAAUCCUGACCUCUGCUCUGUGGGCCCCACUUUGCUACCCCUGAGUACUGACAUUCCACAAAUCAGGUCAGUCCUUUGUCCUGAGGAAAUUAAGGUGAAAUUAAGGUGCUUUACUUCCUAUCCUAUAUCCUCUGACCCGUUAGCAGGGCGGAGAACAGUUUAACAUUUAAUGUUUCCCCAGGCAAUGAACUAAUGCAAAAGAUUUGAUUAACUUUCAAAAGUGUGUCAUUGUUAAUACAAAAAGGCUUUUCUUUCAUACAGUAUUGCUUUCCGUGUUCCCAUAACUUUGAAUAGCAUAAAAAAAAGGUUUUCCAGUUCCUACUUGUGGAAAGUGUGGCAAACACAUUACAGUUGUUGGCAAUUAAGAGGUUUGCAAAAAUCACCACAUAAAGUGCGUCUCUUUUCCAACUUGCUCUUUUGCUGCAACAGUUUGGUUCACUUCUUUACCUGCAGACUAAAACAGGCUGCCCAUAGAUGGAUUUUUUUCCUUUGUAACAGAUUGGUGGCACAUGGAAACAUGUUGAGGUAGGCAAAUAGGAAAAAAAAAAAAGACAGGAAAUGAUCUCACAAACACUCCCCCUCUCUCUGAUUGCUCCAAUUUUCCAGUUACAGAAAAAGAGUGAGUAAUGCCUUCUGCUGCUUUUUAGUCUGCUCCUCUG